GACGAACGCUGGCGGCGUGCUUAACACAUGCAAGUCGAACGAUGAAGCCGGAGCUUGCUCUGGUGAAUUAGUGGCGGACGGGUGAGUAACACGUGAGUAACAUGCCCUUGACUCUGGGAUAACUGCGGGAAACUGUAGCUAAUACCGGAUACGACCCUCGGAGGCAUCUCCUGGGGGUGGAAAGAAUUUCGGUCAAGGAUGGACUCGCGGCCUAUCUGCUAGUUGGUGAGGUAAAGGCUCACCAAGGCGACGACGGGUAGCCGGCCUGAGAGGGUGACCGGCCACACUGGGACUGAGACACGGCCCAGACUCCUACGGGAGGCAGCAGUGGGGAAUAUUGCACAAUGGGCGCAAGCCUGAUGCAGCAACGCCGCGUGAGGGAUGACGGCCUUCGGGUUGUAAACCUCUUUUAGCAGGGAAGAAGCGAAAGUGACGGUACCUGCAGAAAAAGCACCGGCUAACUACGUGCCAGCCGCCGCCGUAA
Molecule: ribosomal RNA, 484 nt
Filed under: uncultured bacterium
Lineage: Bacteria
Description: partial 16S ribosomal RNA
Rfam family: Bacterial small subunit ribosomal RNA
Source: RNAcentral